Non-coding RNA from Candidatus Margulisbacteria bacterium GWE2_39_32, 86 nucleotides. NCBI's taxonomy places the organism in Bacteria, Bacillati, Candidatus Margulisiibacteriota. The record is from Rfam.
CAACCUGUGCAGUGAUGUACAGCUGAAUAGCCAGAAGUCAGCAGAGGUCGUAGUACUAAAUUGAACAUGAACAAUUUAGGAAGGGC